AUUGAACGCUGGCGGCAGGCCUAACACAUGCAAGUCGAGCGGAUGAAGGGAGCUUGCUCCUGGAUUCAGCGGCGGACGGGUGAGUAAUGCCUAGGAAUCUGCCUGGUAGUGGGGGAUAACGUCCGGAAACGGGCGCUAAUACCGCAUACGUCCUGAGGGAGAAAGUGGGGGAUCCUCGGACCUCACGCUAUCAGAUGAGCCUAGGUCGGAUUAGCUAGUUGGUGGGGUAAAGGCCUACCAAGGCGACGAUCCGUAACUGGCCUGAGAGGAUGAUCAGUCACACUGGAACUGAGACACGGUCCAGACUCCUACGGGAGGCAGCAGUGGGGAAUAUUGGACAAUGGGCGAAAGCCUGAUCCAGCCAUGCCGCGUGUGUGAAGAAGGUCUUCGGAUUGUAAAGCACUUUAAGUUGGGAGGAAGGGCAGUAAGUUAAUACCUUGCUGUUUUGACGUUACCAACAGAAUAAGCACCGGCUAACUUCGUG
This 484-nucleotide ribosomal RNA is filed under the name uncultured bacterium. RNAcentral's name for it is "partial 16S ribosomal RNA". It matches the Rfam family "Bacterial small subunit ribosomal RNA", at positions 30 to 507 of the family's 1533-position model. The record is from RNAcentral.